RNAcentral lists this long non-coding RNA (742 nucleotides) under Eucalyptus grandis. RNAcentral's name for it is "long non-coding RNA (EGRA_LNC005913)". Lineage: Eukaryota; Viridiplantae; Streptophyta; Magnoliopsida; Myrtales; Myrtaceae. The record is from RNAcentral.
CUCCCUUCUUCUCUUCAUAGACGCCCCCUGCAGCUACCCCAUUCUCCUUUGGUCUUCUACGUUUUGCUUUCAUUUUCCUUGGUUUCGAUGGCCCUUCACCUUGGACGAGCGGCUUAUGGUUUUCUUCUCAUUUUCCUUCCUCAAUCCAGCUGUCUUCUGCUUUCUUCAUUUCAGUUUUCGUCGAAGCUGAGCCCACUCACGUCACUUGCUUCACUUCGGUUUUACAGUUCACUCCGAGACAUCUCCACCAAUUCUGCAGCUCCGUUCCAACGUCCACGAGCCCACGUCAGCCGGGUUUCUCCCUUUUUAGUUGUCGCAUCACUGAAGUCAACUCAACCCAACCCAACUAAGCCGGGACUAGCCUUCUUGAAGCCGUGACCAACAAACCCCCUUGAAAACUGGGCAGCAACCUCGAAGCUUUGAGGCCUGAUUUCGGCCCGUUCUAGGCCACCGUUGGCGAUCCCACUUUGGAGUUUAACAGCCGCUGUCGCGUCCCCGUCGUUUUGGUCCACUCGAAUCGUUAAUCCAAUGAGUUUAACUCACUAAUCCUUGCUUAGUAAGUUAAUGACGUUUAAGGAUUGAAUUAGUUUAGACUAAGCAUGGAUUAUGUGGAUAGUUUGGUUAGAUUAGCAAUUUAAUUAAUUGUUAUUACAUGUUAGGUGGUUAGAGUAGUGUAAUUAGACCCUAGACAAGUUCUAGUAUUUAACUAGAGUGGUUCGGAAAUUUUCCGAGCGCGUCUCGG